Long non-coding RNA from Microplitis mediator, 510 nucleotides. RefSeq lists it as uncharacterized. The record is from RefSeq and is a predicted model, not a curated record. The transcript is spliced from 3 exons. NCBI's taxonomy places the organism in Eukaryota, Metazoa, Arthropoda, Insecta, Hymenoptera, Braconidae.
AGGACAUGAGCUUACAUGAAUGAAAUAUAGUCGGGACAAUUAAUAUAAAUAGCCGUUUGAUUAUUAUUAAUUCAUAAAGUAAAUAGUCAACGUCCCGAUAGCUUCUGGAUAAAUUGUAGCAAAGGCUUUACUCAACUACUAUACGAGAUGUUUAACAUGAAGAUAUUUUUGUUGGCACUUUUGGUAGUGGCUUUGUUUGCUGCCGAAACCUUUGCAUGCAUUCAAUCCAACGGCUGGUGCGGCAGCGAUUCGUCUUGCUGCUCCGGUAAAUGUUUAAUAGAUUUUAUGGGGACUCACUCAUGUAAAUAAGCUAUUUUUUAAAAAUGAAUUAGUUGAAAUUAUGUGACAAUCACUAUUUGGCAACGAGUAGUCACUAUUUUCACUAUUUCAAACCGGUACUGAAAAAUGUAGUCUGAGUAUAGAAAUAUCUUUUGCUUACUGAAAAUUUCAAAAUUGUAUUUGAAGAUAAAAAAUAAAAAUAUUCCACGGCCUAACGCAUUUGCAUUACAA